RNAcentral lists this ribosomal RNA (301 nucleotides) under uncultured bacterium. RNAcentral describes it as "partial 16S ribosomal RNA". It matches the Rfam family "Bacterial small subunit ribosomal RNA", at positions 509 to 807 of the family's 1533-position model. The record is from RNAcentral.
CAGUAGCCGCGGUAAUACAGAGGGUGCGAGCGUUAAUCGGAUUUACUGGGCGUAAAGCGUGCGUAGGCGGCUUUUUAAGUCGGAUGUGAAAUCCCUGAGCUUAACUUAGGAAUUGCAUUCGAUACUGGGAAGCUAGAGUAUGGGAGAGGAUGGUAGAAUUCCAGGUGUAGCGGUGAAAUGCGUAGAGAUCUGGAGGAAUACCGAUGGCGAAGGCAGCCAUCUGGCCUAAUACUGACGCUGAGGUACGAAAGCAUGGGGAGCAAACAGGAUUAGAUACCCCAGUAGUCCCUGUCACUUAUAC